CUUGGUACUUUAGGCAGCUGGGCAACACCUCUUCCCAUUCCGAACAGAGAAGUUAAACCAGCCAGCGUUGAUGGUAGUUGGGGCUUAAGCCUCAGCGAGAGUAGACGGGUGCCAAGA
This 117-nucleotide ribosomal RNA is filed under the name Patescibacteria group bacterium. The record is from RNAcentral.